CUUGGUCAUUUAGAGGAAGUAAAAGUCGUAACAAGGUUUCCGUAGGUGAACCUGCGGAAGGAUCAUUACCUUUUCCAACACGAGAUCCGUCCCCGGGGGGAGGCAACCCCUUCCCGGGCGGCGGUCCCGCGUUUCCACCCUCUUUUACGAGCACCUUUCCUUCUUCCUCGGCGGGGCGACCCGCCGGCGGAACCAACCACGAACCCUUUAUUGCAUCGAAAGAAGUACUGUUCUGAUAAACCAAAAUCGUUACAACUUUCAACAAUGGAUCUCUUGGCUCUGGCAUCGAUGAAGAACGCAGCGAAAUGCGAUACGUAGUGUGAAUUGCAGAAACCAGUGAAUCAUCGAAUCUUUGAACGCACAUUGCGCCCCUCGGUAUUCCGUGGGGCAUGCCUGUUCGAGCGUCAUUUACAACCCUUCAAGCUCUGCUUGGUGUUGGGCGUUUGUCCGCGCCUCUCCGCGCGUGGACUCGCCCCAAAGGCAUUGGCAGCCCCGGCCGACGAACGCCCUCGCAGCACAACUUGCGCAGGGACCGGCGGCGUCGGGUGGCGACCCAUCAAGAUCUCCUUCCACGUUUGACCUCGGAUCAGGUAGGGAUACCCGCUGAACUUAAGCAUAUCAAUAAGCGGAGGA
Molecule: ribosomal RNA, 633 nt
Filed under: uncultured fungus
Lineage: Eukaryota; Fungi
Description: eukaryotic LSU rRNA
Rfam family: 5.8S ribosomal RNA (bases 254-407)
Source: RNAcentral